UGCUUUUUGCAAAUAUAAAAAGUAUUACCUGCCCAAUGAUUAAUUUAAUGGCUGCAGUAUAUUGACUGUACAAAGGUAGCAUAAUUAUUUGCUUUAUAAAUUAAAGCUUGUAUGAAUGGUAUAAUGUAAAUAUAACUGUCUUUUAUUUAUAAUUAAAAUUUGCUUUUUCAGUGAAGAAGCUGAAAAUUUUUAGAAAGACGAGAAGACCCUAAUGAGUUUUAUAUAUAAUUAUAUAUUAUUAUAAUUAUAUAUUUUGUUGGGGUAAUAAAAGAAAAAAUCUUCUUUUUUAUUAAAAAAAUAAUAUUUAUUGAUCCAUUAAUAAUGAAUGAAAGUUUAAAUUACCAUAGGGAUAACAGCAUAAUUCUUUUUAAGAGUACAUAUCGACAAAAGAGAUUGUGACCUCGAUGUUGAAUUAAGAAAAUUAUAUAAUGCAGAAAUUAUAUAAAUAAGUCUGUUCGACUUUUAAAUUCUUACA
RNAcentral lists this ribosomal RNA (475 nucleotides) under Kumbadjena sp. DNA103737. RNAcentral describes it as "partial 16S ribosomal RNA". It matches the Rfam family "Bacterial large subunit ribosomal RNA", at positions 1817 to 2600 of the family's 2925-position model. Lineage: Eukaryota; Metazoa; Onychophora; Udeonychophora; Euonychophora; Peripatopsidae. The record is from RNAcentral.